GUUCCAAGAGGACGUUGCUAAGCACUUAGGUACAUGCUUAGAAGAUGGCUGCAGGAGGUAAGGGUGCAGUGGGGGCAAUUGCCGGGCUGAGGCGCAUCAUAGUUACUUGGGAGGUGGCAGCCAUGUAACGUGCAAAAAAAGAACUGCAUAAGAUAGGCAGUGGAAGAGAUGAGCUUGGGGAGAGAUUCGAGAAUCAAUCCAUGGAGACUAAGCCCGUACCGAUUCCUGCAUAUUGACUUUGAUCGGAACUUGUCAGGAAAGAAAUUGUUGGACUUGAAGUACUCUUCGCACAAAUCUUGCUACCCCACUUUCAAGACGUAAAUAAUAAAUUUUCCACCAUCACCCAGUCAAGAAUUAGUUUGGAGAACACAUGGAGAACCUGGGCGGAACGUACACAUGCUCAUGUAUUUUAUUGGACAUCAACAGACGAACCAAUCCAGGACAAUAGGUAAACGUGGAAAAGAAUCAGCAGCAGAAAUCCAAAGGUGAAGAGCUUGCGCAGAUCUUCGAGAUUCAAUCCAUAGAAAGCAAGAAAAAAACUGAAUCCAAAACCAAAAGAGAACCUCAUCCUAAUCCAGAGAACCAUAACCAAAGGAGAACCUCAUCUUGAUCCAGAUCUCGGGGGAUGGGGUGAUAGUAGAGAUUUCACGCUGCAAGAUCAGCUUCAGAUUGUUGUUGUUUUAAAUAACAACUUUUCCACCAUCACCCAAUCAAGAAUCAGAUUGGAGAACACAUGGAGAAUCUGGGUGGAACGCACACAUGCUCAUGUGUUUUAUUGGAUAUCAACAGACGAACCAAUCCACGACAGUAGGUAAACGUGGGAGAGAAUCAGUAGCAGAAAUCAAACAAAGGCGAAGAGCUUGCGGAGAUCUUUGAGAUUCAAUCUGUAGAAAGCAAGAAAAAAAAACUGAAUCAAAAACAAAAAGAGAACCUCAUCCUGAUCCAGAGAACCAAAACCAAAGGAGAAUCUUAUCUUGAUCCAGAUCUCGUGGGGAGGGGUGAAAGUAGAUAUUUCAGGCCGCAAGAUCUGCUUCAGAUUGUUGUUGUGUUUUCUAACGGGGAGAGAAGGAGAUAGACAUUGAAGUGGUUCCUUUGGUUUUCUAUAAUUAAGAAAAUAGUGGGCUCAGAUUGUUGUUGUUUUUCCUAACGGGGAGAGCGAAGGAGAUUCUGAUUGACGUGGCUCCUUUGGAUUUCUAUAAACUAGCACAAAUGCCCUUGCGUUGCAACGGAAGAAAAGUGAACAAUAAAAAAAGUGUAGUCCAUUGAUAAAAACACGCGUGGAUACUGUCAAAAAAAGACACGUACGUAAGGUCUUAGAUUAUAAAAUAUGUACAAAGAAAGAACCUAGUGCAAGUAUAUCAUGUCCAAAGAUUAUAACAUUUCCCAAAUAUUGAUGCUUAAGUUAAUAUGUUAUAAUACAAAUAGUCGGUACGAAAUAAAGACAAAUAUUGAUUAGCAUUGUAUCCUAAAUAGUAUUUUUUAAAAUAUUUAAUAUGUAAAAUAACAACAUAUUCAAACUCUGCACAUUUUUCUAAUCAAGUUUCAUAUAUAACAUGUUUAAAUUGAAUUUAUGGUUUAAAAGAUAUUGUUAUUUGAAAAUGCAUAUUUAUUCUGAGUGGACUUCGAGGUUAUUAACGCAUAUGUGAGGGGUGUGCACAAAAAUUUUAAAAAACGAUUCACUCUGAAUAUAAUUUGGACCGCGGGUUAUUUAGCACGAAAGUAAGGGGCUUUUGUGUAAAAUGUGAAAAAACGGUUCGGCCUCACUUAAAAACGUACCACGGGUUAAUUAGAGGAAACUACAGGGGUGUUUUUUGCAAAAAAGCCGCGAUGGACGUCGGAAGCAGUGCGUGCUUUAUUAUUAGGGGAGAAAGAAAAAUAGGCCAACUGGGUUAAUCUUCACGUAAUAAUUUGGUCCCACCAAAAUAAACGGCUCAUAAAUUCUAAUUAACGUGGUAAUUCUUUGAGAGUGCUUAAUUAUAGGUAUAGAUUAUGAAAUGUUCAUAGUACAUAUAUUGGUACUGUAGGUGUCGACAUUUUUAAAUUUAAAUUAGCUCAAAUCAUACAAAGUUUAACUUGACAUAAAUCUAACACGCAAAAUAGAAAAGAUGAGAAGGAGUACAUCUUUUUCGUUCCGAUAUGAUGGUACGUGCUCCGAAGAGAUGGUGAUGGUACACUGCAACGGGGUAUCUUCCUGCAUGACGGGACGCGAUGUGGUUGAAUUAAUGGUCGAGAGAUGGUGAUCCCGAGCUAUCGCGUACACAGAAAGGUUCUCGUCGCAGAGACCAGGCUCCAGUGAGCCUGGUAUACUAAAAAAAUUAG
This 2319-nucleotide long non-coding RNA is filed under the name Hordeum vulgare. RNAcentral describes it as "long non-coding RNA (HVUL_LNC000130)". Lineage: Eukaryota; Viridiplantae; Streptophyta; Magnoliopsida; Poales; Poaceae. The record is from RNAcentral.